RNAcentral lists this ribosomal RNA (1196 nucleotides) under uncultured bacterium. RNAcentral describes it as "bacterial SSU rRNA". It matches the Rfam family "Bacterial small subunit ribosomal RNA", at positions 8 to 1214 of the family's 1533-position model. The record is from RNAcentral.
AGAGUUUGAUCCUGGCUCAGAACGAACGCUGGCGGCGUGGCUAAGACAUGCAAGUCGAACGGACUAUCUGCUUGGGUAACCGAAAUGAUGGUUAGUGGCGAACGGGUGAGGAAUGAAUAGGUAACGUGCCCCGAACUUCGGGAUAGCGUCUGACCGCUUCGGCGGUCUUCCGAAAGGGGCGGUAAUACCGAAUAAUGUCAUGUGGCAUAAGUUACAUGACCAAAGAUUUAUCGGUUUGGGAGCGGCCUAUUUCCUAUCAGCUUGUUGGUGGGGUAACGGCCUACCAAGGCAACGACGGGUAGCGGGACUGAGAGGUUGACCCGCCACAUCGGGACUGAGACACUGCCCGGACCUCCACGGAGGGCUGCAGUAACGGAUAUUGCGCAAUGGGCGAAAGCCUGACGCAGCAACGCCGCGUGUAGGAUGAAGCCCCUCGGGGUGUAAACUACUGUCAGGGCUUAGAAAGUGCGUUUCGGCGCAUUGAUCAGGCCCAGAGGAAGUCACGGCUAACUUCGUGCCAGCAGCCGCGGUAAGACGAAGGUGGCGAGCGUUGUUCGGAAUCACUGGACUUAAAGAGCGCGUAGGCGGAGUGGACAGUGUCCUGUGAAAGCCCCCGGCUUAACCGGGGAAUUGCGGGGCAUACUGCCACUCUUGAGGCAAGCAGGGGUGCAUGGAACUCUUGGUGGAGCGGUGGAAUGCGUAGAUAUCAAGAGGAACGCCGAAGGAGAAAUCAGUGCACUGGGCUUGUUCUAACGCUGAGGCGCGAAAGCGUGGGGAGCGAACGGGAUUAGAUACCCCGGUAGUCCACGCCGUAAACGAUGUCUACUACGUUGUGGUUGUUCUGACACAGGCACGGCCGAAGCAAAAGUGUUAAGUAGACCGCCUGGGGAGUACGGCCGCAAGGCUAAAACUCAAAGGAAUUGACGGGGGCUCACACAAGCGGUGGAGCAUGUGAUUAAUUCGAAGCAACGCGCAGACCUUACUGGUUUGACAUGCUGAUGCUGCGGGAAACUGUAGCUGCUCGGUGAACUUGCACAGGUGUUGCAUGCUGUCGUCAGCUCGUGUCUGGAUGUCGGCUAGGUCUUUACGAGCGAAACCCUUACGUUAGUGCAGCGGUCAUGCGGACUCUAGCGACUGCGGUUACCUGAGAGAAGGUGGAUAGACCUCAAGUCUUCAUGGCCUUAUAUGCCCCAGGG